GGAAAAAUGACUGAGUUGGUUUAAAGUGUUGGUUUGCUAAAUCAAAGUGUUUUUUUUUAACACCGUGGGUUCAAAUCCCAUUUUUUCCA
Molecule: transfer RNA, 89 nt
Filed under: Aureoumbra lagunensis
Lineage: Eukaryota; Pelagophyceae; Sarcinochrysidales; Sarcinochrysidaceae
Description: tRNA-Ser
Rfam family: tRNA
About the family: Transfer RNA (tRNA) molecules are approximately 80 nucleotides in length. Their secondary structure includes four short double-helical elements and three loops (D, anti-codon, and T loops).
Source: RNAcentral